Gasterosteus aculeatus aculeatus (three-spined stickleback) is the source of this 494-nucleotide non-coding RNA. The record is from RefSeq and is a predicted model, not a curated record. NCBI's taxonomy places the organism in Eukaryota, Metazoa, Chordata, Actinopteri, Perciformes, Gasterosteidae.
CAUGCGCAUUUUUUUAAAAGUUCUGGCGGAAACUUAUUUCCACCUCAAUCUUCCAUUGCAGAGGACGUUGUGAAAAAUAUCAGACCCCACGGCAUUUUGGUAACGUUAAGGAGAGCUGCCACAAGAUCCACUGUGUUCCUGCUGUGCAACCACCAGUUUGGAAGUCCCUCAUCUUAUUGUAUUAUCCAUGUAUGUGGAAAUGUAAACUACAGAAAAACAACAACCGUCAAACAAUAAAAGAAAAGAUGGCAAAGACGUUUGGAUACCGUAGACAAGAAAUAGUGCAUAAGCAUUGAAGACAUGUUGACAAGAUGGCCAGCACUUUUUCAGAUGGAAGAGAUUAAUGCUGAGUUCAUGCGGGUGACAACAGUACCCUUGGAGACAAAGUUCUUAGCGCAGUUGGACAAGCACACGUCAAAACUGCUGGAGGUCAUCAGGAGCAAGGGAGGGCGUGUGAAAGAGCUGACCAAGGCAACUUUGCAGGUUUUAGAUGA